ACGGCCACAUUGGGACUGAGACACGGCCCAGACUCCUACGGGAGGCAGCAGUGGGGAAUAUUGCACAAUGGGGGAAACCCUGAUGCAGCGACGCCGCGUGGAGGAAGAAGGUCUUCGGAUUGUAAACUCCUGUUGUUGAGGAAGAUAAUGACGGUACUCAACAAGGAAGUGACGGCUAACUACGUGCCAGCAGCCGCGGUAAAACGUAGGUCACAAGCGUUGUCCGGAAUUACUGGGUGUAAAGGGAGCGCAGGCGGGAAGACAAGUUGGAAGUGAAAUCCAUGGGCUCAACCCAUGAACUGCUUUCAAAACUGUUUUUCUUGAGUAGUGCAGAGGUAGGCGGAAUUCCCGGUGUAGCGGUGGAAUGCGUAGAUAUCGGGAGGAACACCAGUGGCGAAGGCGGCCUACUGGGCACCAACUGACGCUGAGGCUCGAAAGUGUGGGUAGCAAACAGGAUUAGAUACCCUGGUAGUCCACACCGU
RNAcentral lists this ribosomal RNA (482 nucleotides) under uncultured bacterium. Its description in RNAcentral is "bacterial SSU rRNA". It matches the Rfam family "Bacterial small subunit ribosomal RNA", at positions 304 to 803 of the family's 1533-position model. The record is from RNAcentral.